Molecule: ribosomal RNA, 253 nt
Filed under: uncultured bacterium
Lineage: Bacteria
Description: partial 16S ribosomal RNA
Rfam family: Bacterial small subunit ribosomal RNA
Source: RNAcentral
UACGGAGGGGGCUAGCGUUGUUCGGAAUUACUGGGCGUAAAGCGCACGUAGGCGGCUUUGUAAGUUAGAGGUGAAAGCCCAGGGCUUAACCCUGGAAUUUCCUUUAAGACUGCAUCGCUAGAAUCGUGGAGAGGUGAGUGGAAUUCCGAGUGUAGAGGUGAAAUUCGUAGAUAUUCGGAAGAACACCAGUGGCGAAGGCGACUCACUGGACACGUAUUGACGCUGAGGUGCGAAAGCGUGGGGAGCAAACAGG